CCUGCUGUAACUAGACUUUACAACUAUGUGUUCUGUUUCAGCUCAGCCGCCUCCCCACCCUGAUAAUAAAGUGUUAUAUUGGUAUCUUCCACUAGAUGGCAGUAAACACCUGUUGUAUCUCCAUGUAAUCUGGUUCAUUAUGAUCUAGGAUCAGCUCCCCCUCUCCAUGUAAUCUGAUUCAUUAUGAUCUAGGAUCAGGUCCCCCUCUCCAUGUAAUCUGAUUCAUUAUGAUCUAGGAUCAGGUCCCCCUCUCCAUGUAAUCUGAUUCAUUAUGAUCUAGGAUCAGGUCCCUCUCCAUGUAAUCUGAUUCAUUAUGAUCUAGGAUCAGGUCCCCCCUCUCCAUGUAAUCUGAUUCAUUAUGAUCUAGGAUCAGGUCCCCCUCUCCAUGUAAUCUGAUUCAUUAUGAUCUAGGAUCAGGUCC
This is a long non-coding RNA of Oncorhynchus tshawytscha (Chinook salmon), 421 nucleotides long. The record is from Ensembl. NCBI's taxonomy places the organism in Eukaryota, Metazoa, Chordata, Actinopteri, Salmoniformes, Salmonidae.